CUUGGACAGGGUUCUAACCUUUCGCAGGGAACAACGUUCACACACUAUGGACAAUUCUAAAACGCUGAUCAGCCCGUAAUGCUUGUCUUUGGAAUGGGGAGAGGAAACCAGAGUACCUGGAGGAAACCACUGUAUCACAGAGAGAACAUGCAAAAUCCAUGCGCAGAGGCAGGAUUUGAACCUGGAGACAGGAGGCGAAUGUGCUAGCCACUAAGCCACCAAACCCCCCGACAAAGAGACACAUCGAGAGAGUGUCAGGUCAUAUCCGAGAGCUUGGAACACCUACACAAAUGCAGACAUACUCAACUUCUAUUUUAAUCAUCAGACCUGAGAACGUUUACGCAUUUUUGCGUAGGAAGUCCUAAUUUUCCCAUGGAGCAGGAGUAUGCUUGUACAAUCAAUUGUGACAGAAAAAUACAUGAAAAGGGUAUUCCUUUUCCCAGCAGUAAAAACGGAAGAUGACCCAAUCGACACGUGAAUCCGAAAUGAGCUGUGCAGGUGUUUUGAACUCUCUACUAUUAACUGACAUCCUGCAAACUCCACCCCCUUCCCCUCCAUAUCAGGUUAGUAAUCGCUCGCCUUUUUCUGUUUUUUUUCUUUCUUUCUUCUUCCGCUCGAUAGAUGCAGCUGAUACAGCGCCGUCACUUACUGUCAAGCAACAGAGCAAGUGUUUACUCUAAAUUGAGUAAAUUGGCUAAUGUUAGCCAAAGGGCCGCUGUUGAUUCUGCUGACUGUAGUUUAACCACCGUCUGUUGGAAUCCUUCUGACGAUCAUUAGGACAUGAAGCCAGAGGACACACCGUUCACACCACCAUCGCAGCUAUUAAGAGCAGUUCCUUUUUUUAUCUGUCUUUACGUGUCUAUAGGAAAUCUGUUUUUAUCUGUAUAUAAGACAGAAAGGUGUAUCUUGAUCUUAUUGAGCCUCCUACUGUUAGCAUAUUACGGUAAAGGAGUAGUUCGCCUCUUAUGGAAAGCCACCUGAGAUCAUGCGGGUGUAUACUUACAUUGACAGUCCUACCAGAUUUCAUGAAAUUAUUCAAAACUCAUUAUCAAUAGCAAUAGAGAACCUCAUCCAUCCAUCCAUCCAUCCAUUUUCCAUACCGCAGUGUCAUGGAGGAGCCUGGAGGUAUCCCAUAGAACUCUGGGCACAGGGCGGGGGGGACACCCUGGACGAGGUGCCAACCCGUCACAGAGUACAAUCGCACACACGUUCACACACGACGGACAAUUUGGAAAUGCCAGUUAGCCUACAACGCACGUCUUUGGACUGGUGGAGGAAACCAGAAUACCCAGAGGAAACCCCUGAAGCACGGGGUUUUGGAGACGCAAUGCAAACUAACCAUUAACCUAUUUAACCCUUCGCUCUAUUUUACAAGUAAACACACAACUGUAUCAUUAUGGAACACCAAGUCGCAUUGGAGGAAAUCCGUACUCAAACAACUAGAGAAAAAUUUGUCUCGUGUGACAUUUCUUAUGCCCCUUAUCGUUCCUAAUAAUAGCCCCAAUCCUGUCCCUGUCAGACCAAUCUACCACUGACUUGGUGCUUCACCUCAUGCCCUGACCAAGUUUCCUAGGAGAUUGAUGUCCAGUGAUUUUGUCAAAGCAGAACGACCGACUGUUCCAUCUUAGUCAAUGAAGAUUUGGCCCAAUGGACCCUACAAUUGUCAUCAUGUAAUGUAGAAAUACCAGUGCUGUGUUCAGCUUGGCAAUAUUUAACAAGAUGUGCGAAUCUAAUCAAUAUAAGGCACUGCUAUUGGUCGAUUUGUUUCAUGUGAAGCCCAGGGAUCUUACAAAUAUAGCCCAACUGUAGUCGUGUAACAGUCAACCACCUGCUGGACAUGAAGAUCCAAUGAAUACAUCCUUCUGAUGACUUAGCCUCUGCAUAAGUAGCCAAGCACCUCAAAAACCCACCGACCUGUCAGUCAAGGCCUUAAGCUGUUUGUCGAGUCGUUUGUAUGCGCUCAUUACAAGCUCACGGUGUUUAUAUGUGUACACUGCUUUAACAUAACGAGGAGCUUCUCGCUCUGUUGGUUUAGUGCUAUGAGCAGUUUAGACCAAAGCCAUUUUUAACUACGCACUGUGCUGCUGUUUGCUGGAACAUACAUGUGAUGUUUGCUCACAGUUGUAAUAAAUCUCCUUCACAGUAGUAUUCGAAGACUCUACCCCUUAAACAUACCAAAGUCCACCUUUGAGAGCAGAUUAGCGUAGCCAAGAAGGGGCAUAAUAACCCAAUUAGGCUGAAAUAUCCCUACUCGGGCUCAAUUCAGAGGCAUGGCUGAAUUGAUUAAGUUAGCGCUUCUGAGUAAGAAAGAGUAAGAAAAGUAAACAUGAGCUGGGCCAGGCUACAUCCACUGGCAAAGAAAAACAAACGUCGUGUUACGUGAAUGUGCGUAUCACUCACGAUAUGGAAGAUGUUCAAACAGCUACGUGUGUUUACAGUGACAAAAAGAAGGACACCAGUGAUUUGGAUAAAACAAUAUUAGCCCUCUGGGACUGUGGGAGAACGCAUGUGUGUACACACAGUCUCCUUAAGGCACAACAUUUAGAUCAGUUAGUGUUGGCGUAAUUAAAUAUUUUACUUGUGUAAUAGCUUCUCAUGCCUGUUUGGCAGGGCUGAUGAGUCAAAUGUGGGACUUUGGCAAGACCCCCUUCACCUUCACCGGUGAGAUCUAAAAGUAGGGGAACAAUAACGUUAAAGGCAUCUCUCUCUCUCUCUCUCUCUCUCUCUCUCUCUCUCUCUCUCUCUCACACACACACACACACACACACACACACACACACACACAAAGGACUAGUAUGUGGCCUAAGGCAGAGAAAAGAUGAAAGUUGAGGUGAUGAGUGGUUUAGAUGAAGCAGCUUGUACAGUAUAAUGGUGAGAACAGGUUGCAGGGGUGAAAGGCCCCCAGUUGACUGAAUGCUGUGUGUAUGUGACGCCAGCAGCAAGAGGAUUACAAUUCACUUUGGAGAUUAAGCAAAUAUGAAUAAUGAAUCAUCCAUCCCUGUAAAUAUUUUGUUCCAAAAAUACUAUUUCAAUAUAUAAUUUCAAGUAUAAUACUAAAAGUGCUAUUUCAGGUACUGUAUGGGUGCACGGUGGCUGUAGUGGUUAGCAAUUCGCCUCACACCUCCAGGGUCGGGGGUUCGAUUCCCACCGUGGCCCUGUGUGUGCGGAAUUUGCAUGUUCUCCCCGUGCUGCGGGGGUUUCCUCCGGGUACUCCGGUUUCCUCCCCCAGUCUAAAGACAUGCAUGAUUGGCGUGUGUAAAGUGUCCGUAGUGUAUGAAUGAGUGUGUGAGUGUGUAUGUGAUUGUGCCCUGCGAUGGACUGGCACCCUGUCCAGGGUGUACCCCGCCUUGUGCCCCAUGCUCCCUGGGAUAGACUCCAGGUUUCCCCGUGACCCUGAAAAGGAUAAGCGGUAUAGAAGAUGGAUGGAUGGAUAUACUAUAUUCAAAUACUACACACUGUUAUUUAUCUCAAAACAUCAUCUUCAACAGCAUAACUUUUCUAAUUUCAACAGAUGUCACUGGAGAGGAUUUUCUCGCGUGUUGGCUUGGUAUUGAGCGACCCCAUGUGGUCCGUGUCCUUUACUGCAAGCGUAGUUCUCCAGGCCAAGACAUUCUCAUGCUCGAGCACAGGGAUCACCAACCCUCUUCCUUGAAAUCUACUUUCCUGCAGGUUUCUGCUCCAAGCAAAAUUCAAGCAAAAAGAACUUCAUAAGAGGCUCCUACUCAUUCUGGAGGGCACGCUAAAAUUUGCAUCCAUUUGAACUUCAAAGAAGAGACUCUUCUUCAGUGGACUUCUUAACCACCAGAUCUGAAUCCAACCGAGCACCUUUGGGAUGUGGUACAACGGGAGAUUCACGGUUUGAAUGUGCAGCUGACAAAUCUGUAGCGGUUAUACUGUAUGAUGCAAUCAUGUCAACAUGGACCAGAAUCUCAAAGGAAUAUUUCCAACAUCUUCUGGAUUCCAGGCCAUGACGAAGACUGUUCUGAGAGCAAGGGGAGUCAUAUUGAAUACGGUAUCACUGCAUUUCACUUAACAUUUGUCUCAUGUAUUGAAGGGGGGGGGGGGAAACUACCCAUGUCAUGCCCCUCCAUAAAUGUGGAGACCCAGCUGAUGUAACAAAUUAUUAUAAGCUCAUUUCUAAGCUCCUACACACAGCUAAAAUAUUAGUCUUUAGUUCAUUCACAAUAACCUGCUGUCAUCAACAACAGUAUAUCAACAUUCUUCAGCCUCAGCAGUCAGGGUUCAGGCCAGAACACAGCUCUCUCACAGCUGCCCCCUGCUGCACUCUUUGUUGAUCUCUAAAAAUCAUUCGAAACUGUCGACCAUGAUAUCUUAAUGAACAGAACUGUCUCAUUUGGGUUUGGAACAAGCUCUCCCUGAUCUGGUUUGGUACCUACCUUACUGGGAGGGCAUAAACAGUUGUUGGUUGGUUGGAUGGUUUCAUAUCACAGUUCCAUGUCAUCUGUAAUGGUGUCCCACAAGGGCCAAUCAUAGGCCUGUUGUUAUUCACCAUAUACGGGUGUAUAUAAAGAAAAAGCUCACGGAAAUCAAACAUCCAGUAUCUAAAAAUAAUUGAUUAAAGAAUUUAUAAUACAGAAAUGUCAACCUUGUGGAAAGUGUGUUCAUUUAUGCACCGAUACUCGGUCGGGGUUUUAAUUCUUUUGUAUGAAUGACUGCGUGAACGCGGCGGGUCUUCUCAGGUCAACAUUUCUCUAUUAUAAAUUCUUUAUUCGAAUAUUUUGAGAAACUGGAUGCUUGAUUUCCAUGAGCCGUAAACCGUAAUCAUCGAGAUUAAAACAACAACAAACAAACAAACAAAAAAAAAACGGCUUGAAAUAUUUCACUUUAUGUGUACACGGUAUUUCAUUAUCUACAAUAUAUGAAAGUUCCACUUUUUAAAUAAACUUUCCCACGACGUUCAAAUUUUUUGAGAUGCACCUGUAUUUUAGCAAUGUAAUCAGACCCCUCCGAUUGUCCCUUUUAUGCUAAUGAUACAGUCACCUGGACUGACACUAGAUCACGCUGUCAACUACAGUCGAUUAGUAACUCCCUGCAGUCUUCUCAUUCACACAUGAAGAAAAGCCUAUCUUGUGAUUUGAUUGUAUUUCAUCAAUACAUUUCAGAUUUUCUUCAAUGAUUCCACUGUGUAUGUCGUAUUCUCUCUACUAGCCCUUUUACAGUGAUGUAUUUACGUGCAGUACCAUAAUGAACCAUACCACAUAUUUUGUACUGCAGUAUUUAAUGAUUGUAGACACAACUACACAGUUAAACCGCCAGUAUCUUGUCUGUGGGUGAUCUAAAUGAAUGUUCCUAUGGUAUUUCAUUAUAAAUGAGUUAUUUGAACCAAUGAUCCUGCAACUGAUGAUUUUUUUCUUCCCAAACUACAGUCAAGUCAUUACCAUAGUGCCUUGCUUUAAAAAAAAUUAAACAAACAAAACCUUAUAUAUAUAUAUACAC
This is a long non-coding RNA of Ictalurus punctatus (channel catfish), 5457 nucleotides long. NCBI's taxonomy places the organism in Eukaryota, Metazoa, Chordata, Actinopteri, Siluriformes, Ictaluridae. The record is from Ensembl.